This 325-nucleotide unclassified non-coding RNA is filed under the name Tephroseris papposa. RNAcentral describes it as "partial external transcribed spacer". The record is from RNAcentral. Lineage: Eukaryota; Viridiplantae; Streptophyta; Magnoliopsida; Asterales; Asteraceae.
CUGGCUUACCUCCUCAGUUAUGCGUCAAGGCUUGUAUCGCCUAGAGCGUAUUGUUGGUUUUCUGUAUUGGAUACCUAAUCGAAGGUAUUAUUUUGAUCGAUCGGAGUCCCUUUUCGUCUUGUUGCAUUUUGUGUCGCAUGAUGAACGUUGAAGCGGUCUCUAUGUUCCAUCACGUUGAUGCACUUGCAUUGAUGUUGUGGCCCAUUGAGCUUUGUUUGGUUUCUUGGAUAUGGAACAUGAAGUGGGCAUGGGGCUGUCAUGAUCCUCUUUUUGCCCUCGUAUGGUGUUCUUGAACGACGGGUCAUGCGCGCCUAGGCUCGURCCU